ACAAGUUGCAUGAUAUCUCUGAAUCGGAAUUUCUAACUGAGGCUGAGAUCAUUUGUGAUGUUGUGUGCCUGGUAUAUGACGUCAGUAACCCCAGAUCCUUUGAAUACUGUGCUAGGAUUUUUAAGCAACACUUCAUGGACAGCAGAAUACCUUGCUUAAUCAUAGCUGCAAAGUCAGACCUGCAUGAAGUUAAACAAGACUAUAGUAUUUCACCUGCUGAUUUCUGCAGGAAACACAAAAUGCCUCCACCACAAGCCUUCACUUGCAAUACUGCUGAAGCACCCAGUAAAGAUAUCUUUGUUAAACUGACAACGAUGGCCAUGUACCCAGAGGAUCAUUACAGAGACAGACUCUCCCGAGACAUGGGCAACACUGAUAGAAUAGAGAAUUUGAGAAAAAUCUGGGUCUUUCUAAAAACUGCUUUCCAUGCCCGGUUACGCUGUAUGUGCACCUGCAACAGGUGUACAUUUUGCAUCUGUCAGAACUUCCUCAACUCAGACUUGCUGCAAUCUGUAAAGAACAAAAUCUUCACUGCAGUUCUUAACAGGCACGUGACACAAGCUGACCUCAAGAGCUCCACGUUUUGGCUUCGAGCAAGUUUUGGUGCUACUGUUUUCGCAGUUUUGGGUUUUGCUAUGUACAAAGCAUUGUUGAAACAGCGAUGAUUAAAAAAAAAAAAAAUACUGGCCCUACCAAAAACAAAUACUUUUAUGUAUUUAUGUAUGCUUUAAAUUCUGCUAGAAAUAUUGAGAUAUUUAUACAUGCAGAGUUACUUUAUUAAUAUUUGUAAUUCAUGCAUAAGAGUAUUUUAAUGAUAGUUAUAACUGCAGUAUUGGCUAGCAUAUGGAAAGAAAGAGCUUAACAGCCAAACUAAAAUGGCUAAAUUUCAGAGGCCAAAAGGGAAUAUUUUGUAAAUAAUGUACAUAUUCAGGCAAGAUAUGGUCUCCCAAACUGAAUUCUAGAAAUGAUGUUUCUAGAUGUUUCUACAUGGUAUUGUUAGUGUUCGGUUGGCUCACUCUCCUAGAUCUAAGUCAGCUCAGAGAUUGUAUUUACUCAUGGAUCACUUAUUUAUUUCACAUUUUACUCAGAACGAUCCUUUGGGUUCUUUAAAGAACACCAGGCACAAUUUGCCAUUUUCUCUCCAUUUUUAAAAACAGAUGCGUCCUGGUCAGCUCACACCUCUCUUUCAGUCACUCGUUGGUAGGCCAGCCUCGAAGCUGUCGUGCCGUGUAGAAAGUUGCAUAGCUGAGUGAAGUGCUUCUUGAAGGAAGGGAGUGAGUUAAAGGCAGUUAGCUGGGGCAUUACCUAUAUGAUUAUGUUGCUUCCUUUGUCUGUAUGUGGAAUUUUAUAGCCCUUUCAAUCAAAUGAGAAAAAAGAUUUGUAUAUUAUCAAUGUUUUUAGUUUAAAUAAACAGUCACCAUUACUACUACUGAAUUUCCUCCCCCAGUGUACAUCAUUCGAUAACGGCCGUGUCUAUUAUAGCGUCUUACAGUGGCUGCACGUGUCAUAAAGUGUUCUCUGUCUGGCUAGGAUAACCCGGAGGCAGCACUUGUUUAAAUGGUAAAAUAAAUCUAAUGAACAUAAACUCUCACGAUAAACCUAUUCUUUUUCCAUCAUCAACCUUUUCGAGUAUUUAAAUAAAUAACUGCUGUGUACCAUG
Leptonychotes weddellii (Weddell seal) is the source of this 1660-nucleotide non-coding RNA. The record is from RefSeq and is a predicted model, not a curated record. NCBI's taxonomy places the organism in Eukaryota, Metazoa, Chordata, Mammalia, Carnivora, Phocidae.